This is a long non-coding RNA of Stegostoma tigrinum, 807 nucleotides long. RefSeq lists it as uncharacterized. Lineage: Eukaryota; Metazoa; Chordata; Chondrichthyes; Orectolobiformes; Stegostomatidae. The record is from RefSeq and is a predicted model, not a curated record. The transcript is spliced from 3 exons.
GUUAACUGGUAAAAUGUUUUUCUUUCGGUCUAGUACUGCAGUGUGCCACUGUGUUGCGGCCAUGGAUAAGCAGUGACACCUUUUUGAUUGUCCACCCUGACCUGAGCUGAUACAUAUACCCCCGGAGCCAUUUCAGAGGACAGCUGGAAGUCAGCCAUAUUGCUAUGGAUCUGGAGUCACGUGGAAUCCAGACUGGAUGCUACCAGACCUGCUGAGCUUUUCCAGCGACUUCAGUUUUUGCUUCGGAAUACAUGCCCUUUGCUGUGCCUGACGUUGCCAAUAUGUCUAUCUAUAUAUAGGUAAUAAAACUGCCCCAUUGUAAUCACUCUAUAAUAAAGUCAUCGAGUCAUACAGUAUAGAAACAGGCCCUUCUUGAACAAAGGAACUAAAUUAGCUCUCCUCCAGUCAUAAUGUUGGCAUCUUUCUGUAAUUUCCCUGCAGAUUGGCUCUUCUACAUCCUUCCCACAAAUUGGUGGUCUUUGGACUGCUCAGAGCAAUGGAAUUCCACUUUUUUUAUUCCUUAGCUGUAGCCAAUUGACUCUAACUUUGAACCCUCUGAGAAAUAUUCUUUUUCCAGUACUGCAAUCAUUACUCAAACCAAUACUGCCAAUUACUGGUUAUAAUCCAGAGAUCAGUACCACAGAUAGGUGGAUUCUGUUGAGUCAGAUAUCUUGAAGCUUAUUUACAACAACGAACUAUUUAUGAGGCUAAAAUACUUACAAACACGCAGUCUGGGUUCAGUGCUUACUGUCGACUACAAACAACAUGAUUGGCUGAUUAAAAACUGAAAGAACUGCGGAUGCUGUA